AAACCGGAGCUAAUACGGAUAAUAUAUUGAACCGCAUGGUUCAAUAGUGAAAGACGGUUUGCUGUCACUUAUAGAUGGAUCCGCGCCGCAUUAGCUAGUUGGUAAGGUAACGGCUUACCAAGGCAACGAUGCGUAGCCGACCUGAGAGGGUGAUCGGCCACACUGGAACUGAGACACGGUCCAGACUCCUACGGGAGGCAGCAGAA
This 206-nucleotide ribosomal RNA is filed under the name uncultured Staphylococcus sp. Its description in RNAcentral is "partial 16S ribosomal RNA". It matches the Rfam family "Bacterial small subunit ribosomal RNA", at positions 154 to 354 of the family's 1533-position model. Lineage: Bacteria; Bacillati; Bacillota; Bacilli; Caryophanales; Staphylococcaceae. The record is from RNAcentral.